Molecule: long non-coding RNA, 948 nt
Filed under: Setaria viridis
Lineage: Eukaryota; Viridiplantae; Streptophyta; Magnoliopsida; Poales; Poaceae
Description: long non-coding RNA (SVIR_LNC004884)
Source: RNAcentral
UCAAUUUGGUGACCCUGAUCAACAUUGACAAAAACAGCCAUUAAAUCUAACAUGUUUUUGAACUACCCACAUUUACCAUUGUUAAACAAAUUAAGAAAAAGUACCCUUAAUAUGAUUUUAGUAGCUUUGCCAUUAUAUUAUAAAAGAACUAAUCCAAAGUACCACCAGCUCAACUUUUAAAUGACACACCUAUGUGAUCACAAAAAUAAUAACCCCCAAAGUACCCUAAAUACAUGUUUCUAAAUUAUUAAUCACCUUUGUGAUUACAAAAAAGCAUACAUGGAACUUAAAUAUCUCUUCGAAAAUACGCAUAUCUGUCUGCCAAGAAAAACAAGCCACACCUAUCUAAAAUUUUUAUUUAGAUCUCUUUGUAAAUAAUGCGGUGAACUCCAGAUAUUAAACUAAAAAUACACCAUGGAUGAUCACACAUAUGUAAUGAAUAUUCUGAAGGUGAGGGAAAACAAGAAAAAUAACACGUACUAUGUAGUAAGACUCUAAUUCAAUGCAUGAUGAAUUUAUUGUACAAAGAGAUGUUUAAUAUACAUUCAUCAGUCAGUAAUAAAUCAUAUUCACAUAGGCAUAAGAAAUUAGCAAACUACUCAAAUAUACAAACCAUAGUAAAAUUUUAGACCGUGAGGCCAACCAAUAAUCUCACUUCUGAUAAAAGAGCUGCUAUUUCCCCAUCUAAAUCACAUACUCUACCAUUACCACAAAAUUAUACCAAAGUAACACUAUCUUAUAGCUUCGUUUCAUAUAUAUCAUCUACACACUUAUUUAGGUCUCUCAAUUAUGUGGUGAAACCUGGAGGCUGAACCUAAAAAUAAAGGAUAUUCAUACCACGGAUGGCAACACAUAUAUAAAGAAUUACUGACAGAAAAAAUAACUUUGCACAAUACUUUGAUUUGAAAGGAGGCUAGUAAGAAAACGUGGUAAAUAUAUACACAAACA